AAAUUUUUUCGUAUAAAGUGAUCAAAAUAAUAUCUAUUUAUUACAUACAAAGGAGGAAAAAUAUGGCUCAAAUUCCAUAUCAUUUUUAUGUUUUGAUCAUAUUUCUUUCUCUAUUUCUUGUUAAAACCACUAGUAGUAGUCGUAGUAGUAAGUCAUUUAACACACCAUUUACAAAUAUCUAAUGUAUCUUAUAUGAAAUAUUUCAUCACUUUUUGGUAACAAUUCUUUUGUUCUUUUCAGACGUUAUAAAUACCAGUAUUCCCUGCAAUAUGCCCUAUGAUUGUCGCGAAAUUACUUGUAUUGCUCCUAAAGUUCCGUGGUGUGUUAAUUGUUAUUGUACAUGCGUUUAGGAUCAAAAUAAUUUUAUAUUGUUCGUUUUCGGGUAACCCCUUAAUUGAAGAGUCACUUUGCAACAUAGAGGUACUUGAUUCGAAACUUGGCAUUAGCAAAAAAAAAAAAAUUAUAUUGUUUGUAACUAUAUAAUUUUAUUAAUACAUUGUAAUAUUGGUACUCUUAUAUAUAAUUUUUACACACUUUUAUUUAUAUUUCUUGACCUUCCAAUAUUGGUUUAAUUAAGAUUGCAAUAAUAAAGAUUAGGUUUGGUUUAGUUAUAUUAGAUUUGGGUAGUAUAUAUGAAAUUAUAGGUUCAACCUCAUUGUCUCAAAUCUGUAACAAAAAAUAUGUGGUUGUGUCACAGUUAAGUUCUCUGUUUGGAGAAGGGUCUGUUUGUAAAAUAAAAUUAAAAAAUGUGCAAUAAAUUUGUUAUUGUCAUUUGGAGGACCUUUGUUGAAUAAAUUAAAAGUGUGCCAUAAAUUUGUUUUGUCUUAAGCAAAUCAUGUUAUGAAUUUAUUUAAACUAGUGUAUGAGGCCGUGCUAAAGUACGAAAAAUAAAGGAGGUUUGGGUAUUAAGAAUCUUGAUUUGUUCAAUCAAGCUUUACUAUGCAAAUGGAAGUGGAGAGGACUUGGUGAAGAUAACAUUUUGUGGUGCAAGUUACUGGUGUAUAGAUAUGGGUCAAUGGCUGGAAAUUUUCUUCUGGAUGUCAACAAGAAUGUUAGAGCUCAAUCCAUUUGGUGGCGCGACAUCUUAAGGAUAGGAGGUGAAGAGAGCGNNNNNNNNNNNNNNNNNNNNNNNNNNNNNNNNNNNNGCAGAUAUUAGGCCUAAGAAAGAAUGCUUGGAUCAUCGAAAAUGGCUCAUGAACCAUGCCGGUAUGUUUACGGUAAAAUCAGCAUAUUGUUUCUUGCAAAAUCGUGAUUCAUUUUUGACUAUUAAUAGUAAUGUGGUGGAUGCGCUGCAGGAUUUAUGGGUGAACGAUGUACCGUCUAAAGUGAACAUAUUUGGAUGGAGAUUGUUAUUAGCACGACUUCCGACCCAUAUGGCUUUGGUAAGAAAAGGAAUUAUCAAUAAUCCAUGUGAGUUUUGUUGCGUGUUUUGCUUUAGAGAAGAAGAAGAAAUAGAUCAUUUAUUUUUUAAUUGUUCUGUCUCAAUUCAAGUUUGGAAGAAAAUUUAUAAGUGGAUGGCUGUGGAUUUCAUCCCCUUUGAGGAAGGGUGGAAGCACUUCAUGUCUUUUGGUGAUUUGGUGACGAGUAAGAGACUUGCUAAAACCCGUCAUGUCAUUUGGUUAGCAACUACUUGGAGCAUAUGGCGUACUCAGAAUAAUAUUGUGUUUCGAGGAGAUGUGUUUAAUUUGGAUGCUUUGAUAGAUCAAAUUAUCUUUAUUUCUUGGUUUUGGUUUAUAGGUCGUUAGGGAGUUAAUACUUCUUUUGUAUUUUCUGAUUGGUGUAACGAUCUGUUAGUUUGCAUUGAUAGCAUCUAAUGGUUUUCGUUUGAAUUGUAAGGGUUGAGUGCACCUUAUACUCCUUAUAAUUCAAUUUUUGCUUAUAAAAAAAAAGUACGAAAAAUAAAAUAACUAUAAAAUUUAAAGUCAAUAUGCAUAAGUAUAUACUCCCUCCGGUCUUUAUUAUAAGAAACACUUUGACAAAAUCACACAGACCAAGGAUGGUAAAUUUUCUCAUUAAUGAUUCUAACAUUUUAUGUUAUAUUCCAAAACUAACCUUUGACUAGCAUGAGAAAUAGGCCUCUCUAAUUAAUGCACUAGCAUUAUAAUGAAUUAUUUGAUUAUAUUUAAUAAGGGUACAAAUGGAAUUGUGUCAAAGUAUUUCUUAUAAAAUGGACCAAAUAAAAAUUUCAAAGUGUUUCUUAUAAAAAGGAUCGGAGGGAGUAUUUAGGUUUUAUUGACAUAUAAGUUAGCAUAAAUAAACUAUAAAGUUAACAGUAAUAUUCAAUGUUUUAAAAAUUCAACCAUACGAUUCAACUAGUUUGAUGGAGAACUGGUCUGGAUGGAUAACUUCAAAAAAUUGAAGGUUUGUAGAAACCCGGAAAAAAUCGUCAUAACAGGUCUGAAUUUUACUUGGCUUACUUUUUUAACUAGUUAUUCCGUUCAUAAUUUUCUAACAAUAUAUAAUUUAAGCUUGAUUAAAGAGGCUUAAAUGUUGUGAAAAUGAAAAUAGCAAUUAAAGAAUUGUGUUGGGAUUAUAUAUUACUCCUACUUAAUCACUUAAUACAACUUAUGUCAUCGAUUAUAUUAUAUGUUAUUGUGUUCGAAUUUGUUUACACGUAUUACUCAUCAUAUGUUGUUGUGUUCGAAAAACGGCGAGAGUUCCGUUAUACCUAUUAACAUUUGAUGUUUCGCUCGGUUAGUCAAUAUAAGGGCAUUACGACCCAAUAAUAUUAUUUGUAAUUAUGAAAUUAUAUAACCCUAUGUCUAGCAAUUAAAUUUCAUAACUGAGUUUAUUUCCAUAUCCCUUAAGUAGAAAAUCUAUGUCUUGCACAAUGGAAGUUAAACAUAUUCUAAAGAAAUUAUGGAAAUCACAUUAUGAAAAGCAAUGCAAUUCAUAAGCAUGUUAUGAUCCUUAGCCUAUUUCAAUCAUGAAUAAAAAAAUUGUCAUAAAAAAGAGUUUGAAUUUCGUGUUUUAUUGAUUGUUGAUUAUCAAAAAGUUUAACAAAAAUUUGGAUUGAAAAAGGGUAAAUUCUAAUAUGGACCACUUCAUCAAGUGGUCCAUGGUGGACCAGUCGUGAAUAACAUUAUAACGAAUACGAAUUUUACAAAAUUCACCAUUGGAUUAAAAGUUUAUAUCAUAUAGAUCAUCCAUAGAAAAAUUGAAAAUCAUUUGAUAUGUUAUUGAGACACAUCAAGAUUAACGGUUUAUUAAAUAACGUAAAUAUGGGUCUCAAUAACAUAUCAAAUUAUUUUAAAAAAAAUUUAAAAAAUUUAUGGAUGAUCUAUGCGAUAUAAACUUUCAAUCCAACAGUGAAUUUCAGAAAAUUCAUAUUCCGUAGAUCACUUAUCUACAGUGAACCACUUGUGAAGGUAGUCCAUCGUAGCAUUAGCCUUGAAAAAGGGAAAAUUUAAUUAAUAUUGAUUGUUAAUUGUUGAUUAAUGAUUAUCAAAGGUAUAACUUUUUUGUUUUCUUGAAACUUAAGACUUUGUACUAAUUACCUCGUAGCCAAUUGUAGAUUAUCAAAUCAUCUUUCCCUACAACCCGAAAGAUUUAUGCACCCAAAAAAAAUUAUUAAUUAAUAUUUGAGCAUUCCUUAAAUUGUUGCCUUUUCGUGAGAAUCAUACGUGCACUCUUUCAAUACAUAUAUAUGGAUCACGGUAAAACCAAGCUUAAAAAAUUUGAAUUUCUUUUUCAUUUGAUAUUAUAUUUUAUUUUUUUUAGUACGCUUAACAAGUGCUAUUUAGAAAUUAUUUAGCAUGACCCAUAAAUUUUAUAUAGAGGUUUAUUUAAGUACAAAACUUUUUUAAAAGGGGAUAUAUAAUUUUCAUCACUAUUAUUUAUCUUUUGAUUCAAGGUUGUCAUAACCAGACCGGACCGGCCAAUCGGACAGGGAACCGGUCAUGUAUGUUGUUCGGUUUGGCCUGAAAAAGGGCAGUAAACGUCGAACCAGCGAGGAACCUGGUCAAACCGGUGAACCGGUUGGUGCGGCUACUUAUUUAUGCGGCUACUUGCAUUGGAAAUCAUUAAUCUUAUUAUUAAAUAAGAGAACAUUUGACCCCACAAGCAUUUGCAAACACUUUGUUUUGCUGUACAUUUCAACAACACCUUACCCAAUUUAUUUAUAGUGAAGCUACCUCUCAAAUAUUUGCGAAAACAGCAAUGUGUGACUAAUAGUGUAGUGCAAAUGCAAUCUCUCCAUAUUAGACAAACAUCAUACAUACAAACCUCAAACUAUUUUUUUUAGAAAAAAUAAACCUUUGUCACAUUAAGAAGUGAACUUUUGUUAAAAUAGUUUUUUUUAGUCUCACUUUUUUAUGUUUCUAUUUCCCUUUUGAUAUUUUGCUUCUUUCUUUUUGUUAAUAGUUUUGAUAUUUUGCAUCUAAUUUUAAUAGUCAAUAAAUAUUAUAUUAUAUGUUUUGUAUGAUUUUAAUUUUAAUAGUCAAUGAAUAAUUUUUAGAACUUAGUUUAUUAUGUAAUUUCUAAUUUGGUUUGAAUUAGAAAUUGUAUGUCUAAUGUACUAAAGUUUUUAUUUUAUGUUGACGUUAUGACAUUUUAUCUUUUUAAUUUGUGAAACUAAGAAAUAUUGAGUAAUUAUUUAUAUAUUUUUAUUUAUAUAAUAAUUAAAAUAUAUAUUUAAUUAAAAAUGAUCAGACCCGAUUGAACCCCGAUCGGACUAAUUGAACCUUGAACCGGUAAACUCGCCGGUACGAUCACUAGUCUGAUUUUGAUUACUUUGUCUUAAUUUGUUUCCAUUGUCUAUUAAGAAAUGCCCAAAGAGAAAUAAAAAAUAUAUGUUAAGUGUGAUGAAUAGAGUGAACGAAAGAGACAAACAUGACACACCAAUGUGCCUUAGAGACAUUUAACAAUAAUUAUUUUUUUAUGAAUCGUUUCUUGCUUUAGUAAAAAAAAAAUGAAUGGCUUCUUGCAACAUCACAACCCUAAAAACUAUUUUAUUAAAGUUAACAAAACAUGAAAACUUUUCUUAUAAAGUGAUCUACAAUUUCAUAUUUAUUACAUACAAAAGGAGAAAAAAUAUGGCCCAAAUAAUUCCACAUUUUGUUUAUAUUGUGAUCAUAUUUCUUUCUCUAUUUCUUGUCCCAACCAAUAGUGGUAAGUUAUUUUUUAUAUCAUUUGUAAAUAUCUAAUUUAUCUUAUAUAAAAAUUUCAUCACAUUUUAGUAACAUUUUUUUUUUGUUCAUGUAGUCAUUAAAACUUCUAGUAUUCCCUGCAAUCUACCCAAUGAAUGUCCAGCAAUUUUGUGUACUCCUCCUCUAAUUCGGUGGUGCAUUGAUCACUUUUGUUCGUGUGUGUAAAUGUAACAAUUAAGUUGAAAAAUUAACUCUUGUUAUGAAUAAUAAUAUGUAAUGAAUGUCCAUUAUUGUGUAGGUUUUCUUGUCCCUUAAAUGUGUCCUAUAAAUAGGACCCCUUUGUUAAAAUGUGAUNN
RNAcentral lists this long non-coding RNA (5443 nucleotides) under Trifolium pratense (red clover). RNAcentral's name for it is "long non-coding RNA (TPRA_LNC000732)". The record is from RNAcentral. Lineage: Eukaryota; Viridiplantae; Streptophyta; Magnoliopsida; Fabales; Fabaceae.